AUUGAACGCUGGCGGCAUGCCUUACACAUGCAAGUCGAACGGCAGCACGGGAGCAAUCCUGGUGGCGAGUGGCGAACGGGUGAGUAAAGUAUCGGAACGUGCCCAGUCGUGGGGGAUAACGUAGCGAAAGUUACGCUAAUACCGCAUACGAUCUAUGGAUGAAAGCGGGGGAUCGCAAGACCUCGCGCGAUUGGAGCGGCCGAUAUCAGAUUAGGUAGUUGGUGGGGUAAAGGCUCACCAAGCCGACGAUCUGUAGCUGGUCUGAGAGGAAGACCAGCCACACUGGGACUGAGACACGGCCCAGACUCCUACGGGAGGCAGCAGUGGGGAAUUUUGGACAAUGGGCGAAAGCCUGAUCCAGCCAUGCCGCGUGCAGGAUGAAGGCCUUCGGGUUGUAAACUGCUUUUGUACGGAACGAAAAGGUUUGGCCUAAUAAGCUGAGCCCAUGACGGUACCGUAAGAAUAAGCACCGGCUAACUACGUGCCAGCCGCCGCGGUAA
This 500-nucleotide ribosomal RNA is filed under the name uncultured bacterium. RNAcentral describes it as "partial 16S ribosomal RNA". It matches the Rfam family "Bacterial small subunit ribosomal RNA", at positions 30 to 523 of the family's 1533-position model. The record is from RNAcentral.